UAUCCGAUUGAUCGAGAAAUGUAACAAUGCCCAUAUAUUUGUGAAAGAUCACUGUCAUAUACUUUUUUCGGCAAGAAACGGCAUUUUUAGUAAUUAAAAUAAUUAACUCUACAUCUUAUAAAUAGAACCAUUAUGCGAAAAUGGAAAAUAGCUAAUAUACAGUUUCUUCGAAUAUAUUGAUAUAAAAAAAAAAUCGAUCAGCUGCAUUCAGCAUUAAUGUAAUGCAAUUUUCUGUUCAAUGAUACUUGCAUUUGUCACCAUCAGGUAUCGACAAUGUUCCGUCUGUAACCAUCUGUAGCACCUUCACGUCUGCGCUUCUGCUGCCUGCGCUUCAUGAAGAUCGCAUAUCCAACGUCACGUUACAGGCGCACGUCGGUGAACAUGAAGUUGACAGCAGGAGGGCAAUGAUAAAUUAUGACAAGCCCAAAAACGGGAAUACUUUAAUCACUUUAAGUGCUUACUUUUAUUCAAUAUGCAAUAACGGAAUUGUAAAUAUAAAUCACGUAUCACGCACCGAUCGUGACGAUUCGUAUCGCGUUCUGCAGGAAGACAGCGUUAGAAGGCAGCGCUCGGAAGUAGCAAGAAUACGAUAAAAGACGAAGAGAUUAUUCAAUACUGAAUUAUUAAGUACUCGAUUAUGUUCUUGUGCAUGAUUUCACUUGACAAAAACUUGUAAGACACAGAAGACGUAUAUCUACAUAUACUUAGCGCAUACACAAUCAUUAUAAAAUGUAUAAGUUAUCAAAAUGUAGAAAAUAAUCUGUUUAGCUUACACAUCGAUGUGAUAAGUCGAGCGGUAAAGAGGUAAUCGGUGUAACCUGCAAAAGCAAAUUGCAUGCUUAUGCUGUGUUACUAUCAGCAUAAGCUCUUGUCAACUAUAUUAGUCUUGGCGUCUAUUAAUGAGAAGAGUUAUAUCUUACAUUCUGAAGAAUAUGAACAUAGAAAUUCUACCUACACUUCGAUAGUAGGUAAAUACGUGGCAUUAGCUAGCUGUGAACGGUAUAUAUAACAGAAAACUUCGACAAGUAUGUAAAUGUACAUAUGUAAAAAUAAAAUCGAUUAAACGUUAAAUAAAGGCAAGCGCGCUAUAAUUAAA
This is a long non-coding RNA of Wasmannia auropunctata (little fire ant), 1096 nucleotides long. RefSeq lists it as uncharacterized. The record is from RefSeq and is a predicted model, not a curated record. NCBI's taxonomy places the organism in Eukaryota, Metazoa, Arthropoda, Insecta, Hymenoptera, Formicidae. The transcript has 2 exons.